GGAAGGGUGCUCCGAAUGGCUAAGGAACCGGUCUUGAAAACCGGCGCCCGCAAGGGCUUGUGAGUUCGAGUCUCACCCCCACCGCUA
RNAcentral lists this transfer RNA (87 nucleotides) under Candidatus Beckwithbacteria bacterium. RNAcentral describes it as "tRNA-Ser". It matches the Rfam family "tRNA". From Rfam's summary of the family: Transfer RNA (tRNA) molecules are approximately 80 nucleotides in length. Lineage: Bacteria; Candidatus Beckwithiibacteriota. The record is from RNAcentral.